Neopsephotus bourkii (Bourke's parrot) is the source of this 926-nucleotide long non-coding RNA. RefSeq lists it as uncharacterized. The record is from RefSeq and is a predicted model, not a curated record. Lineage: Eukaryota; Metazoa; Chordata; Aves; Psittaciformes; Psittacidae. The transcript has 3 exons.
CGAGCGCUGAAUGAAUCAUGCAGAACAGUUUGUAAAAACCCUGGAUACAGCCUCAGAGUAUGCAAGCUAUUUUCCUGGAAGAAGUUGCGUAGAAUUUCAUUAGUGGCAUGAAUCUGGUUUCCCUAGGUUUCCAGACGUUUCCACUUAAUUACAGGCCUCUUCAUGCAUGGGAUUUCAUUCUGUCUUGACAGGCUUCCUGUUUUCUUUCGGAAACUUUUUGAAGACCCUGUCGGCUCUAAGACUGAUCAUGAUGAAUCCCUUCUCUGCCUGUAUGGCACUCAUUAAGUGAUCCGCAUUCCAGCAGAAAUCCAUAUAGCCAACAGAAAGUAAGAAGGCAAGAACUGCUCCUGGAGCAGCACAAAGGUCUAUCUAGCAUCUGGUUCCAAAUCUCCACCUAGGUGUGGGGAUGGCUGACUUAAAGAAAGGUAUAAGAUUCUCAUAGUUGGGAGGUAAGGGAUAAUAUUUCUCAUUUUCUCCCCUCUCCUACUCCAGUAAGUCUGUUUUGUAUCUGUAAUAUUUAGGUUUUGGCUUAAGCUCUGAAGAAUGAAGCUGAACAACCAGGAUGUAUCUGUUAGCAAUAUUUAUAACUCUGGAUAUUCUUGAUAUCUGUAGGAAUAUCAAUCUUAUCAUAACCCCACUUAUUCAUCUCUGGCAGGAGUUGCCAGGUUCAGAUGCACAUGUCAUUAAUGAUGCAUAAGCUAUUGCAAAGAAAGAACAAAUGCUGGCUCAACAGCUGAGUGUCCCCAUGGAAAACAUCCAUGAGCAACCUUGGAUGGAUGUGGUAGUGCUGCACCAUUACCCAUGUCAAGUGGAGAGUCAGGAGACUCCUUAUCAGAGGCAAACACUUUGCAACACUAGUUUCAGGAUACAAUUUUCACCACCUGGAUCAGCAUGAAGUAUUCUUAUUUACCUACCAUGUGUUCCUG